AACAUCUAAGUACCCAGAGGAAGAGAAAGAAAAUUCGAUUCCCUAAGUAGCGGCGAGCGAAAGGGGAAGAGCCCAAACCAGGAACUUGUUCCUGGGGUUGCGGAUAGAUCAUAACGCUUUGAUUUCUUUAGUUGAAGAGAACUGGAAAGUUCCGUCGUAGAAGGUAAUAACCCUGUAGGCGAAAAGGAAAGAAAAGUAGAUCUACUCCAGAGUACCACGAGACACGUGAAACCUUGUGGGAAGCUGGGAGGACCAUCUCCCAAGGCUAAAUACUACCUAGUGACCGAUAGUGAAGCAGUACCGUGAGGGAAAGGUGAAAAGAACCCCGGAAGGGGAGUGAAAUAGAAUCUGAAACCGUGUGCCUACAAUCGGUCGGAGCACAUUAAAGUGUGACGGCGUACUUUUUGUAGAACGGGCCAGCGAGUUACGAUAUAUAGCAAGGUUAAGCACUUAUGGUGUGGAGCCGAAGGGAAACCGAGUCUGAAUAGGGCAACUAGUUGUAUAUUGUAGACCCGAAACCGAGUGACCUAUCCAUGGCCAGGAUGAAGCGGAAGUAAAAUUCCGUGGAGGUCCGAACCACGUUGGUGUUGAAAAACCAUGGGAUGAGCUGUGGAUAGCGGAGAAAUUCCAAUCGAACUCGGAGAUAGCUGGUUCUCCUCGAAAUAGCUUUAGGGCUAGCGUCGGGUAAUUGAGUAGUGGAGGUAGAGCACUGAAUGGGCUAGGGGCUGACAACAGUUACUGAACCCUAUCAAACUCCGAAUGCCAUAUACUUGUACCCCGGCAGUCAGACUACGAAUGAUAAGAUCCGUGGUCAAAAGGGAAACAGCCCAGACCAUCAGCUAAGGUCCCAAAGUGUAAGUUAAGUGGGAAAGGAUGUGGGAUUUCUAAGACAACUAGGAUGUUGGCUUAGAAGCAGCCACUCAUUUAAAGAGUGCGUAAUAGCUCACUAGUCGAGAGAUCCUGCGCCGAAGAUGUAACGGGGCUCAAACUUACCACCGAAGCUAUGGAUGUGUACUUUGUACACGUGGUAGAGGAGCUUUCUGUACAGGUUGAAGUCAUACCGUAAGGAGUGGUGGACAGUACAGAAGUGAGA
RNAcentral lists this ribosomal RNA (1093 nucleotides) under Clostridium botulinum D/C. Its description in RNAcentral is "partial 23S ribosomal RNA". It matches the Rfam family "Bacterial large subunit ribosomal RNA", at positions 197 to 1293 of the family's 2925-position model. Lineage: Bacteria; Bacillati; Bacillota; Clostridia; Eubacteriales; Clostridiaceae. The record is from RNAcentral.